GGUUGAUCCUGCCCGGAGGUCAGUGCUAUUGGGAUUCGACUAAGCCAUGCGAGUCGCGAGGAUUGGCCAUCGGCUGACGGCUCAGUAACACGCGGAUAAUCUGCCCUUAGCUGGAGGAUAAUCUCGGGAAACUGAGAAUCAUAUUCCAUAGAUUUAGGAUGCUGGAAUGCACUUAAAUUAAAAGCUUCGGCGCCUAAGGAUGAGUCUGCGGACUAUCAGGUUGUAGUCAGGGUAACGACCUGACUAGCCUACGACGGAUACGGGUUGUGAGAGCAAUAACCCGGAGAUGAUAUCUGAGACACGAUAUCAGGCCCUACGGGGCGCAGCAGGCGCGAAAACUUCGCAAUGUGCGAAAGCACGACGAGGGAAUCCCAAGUGCUGGCUCGUUAGAGUCAGCUGUUUCUAUGUCUAAAAAGCAUAGAGAGUAAGGGCUGGGUAAGACGGGUGCCAGCCGCCGCGGUAA
Molecule: ribosomal RNA, 463 nt
Filed under: uncultured archaeon
Lineage: Archaea
Description: bacterial SSU rRNA
Rfam family: Archaeal small subunit ribosomal RNA
Source: RNAcentral